GACGAACGCUGGCGGCGUGCUUAACACAUGCAAGUCGAACGCUGAAGCCCUUUCGGGGGUGGAUGAGUGGCGAACGGGUGAGUAACACGUGAGUAAUCUGCCCUGUACUUCGGGAUAAGCCUUGGAAACGGGGUCUAAUACCGGAUAGGACCUGUCCUCGCAUGGGGGUGGGUGGAAAGUUCCGGCGGUAUGGGAUGCGCCCGCGGCCGAUCAGCUUGUUGGUGGGGUAGUGGCCUACCAAGGCGACGACGGGUAGCCGGCCCGAGAGGGUGACCGGUCACACUGGGGCUGAGACACGGCCCAGACUCCUACGGGAGGCAACAGUGGGGAAUCUUGCGCAAUGGGCGAAAGCCUGACGCAGCAACGCCGCGUGGGGGAUGACGGCCUUCGGGUUGUAAACCUCUUUCGACAUCGACGAAGGGGCCCUGUUGUGGGGUUUUGACGGUAGGUGUAGAAGGAGCACCGGCUAACUACGUGCCAGCCGCCGCCGUAA
Molecule: ribosomal RNA, 493 nt
Filed under: uncultured bacterium
Lineage: Bacteria
Description: partial 16S ribosomal RNA
Rfam family: Bacterial small subunit ribosomal RNA
Source: RNAcentral